RNAcentral lists this ribosomal RNA (906 nucleotides) under Acrotoma enguriensis. Its description in RNAcentral is "partial 16S ribosomal RNA". The stretch from base 362 to 618 matches the Rfam family "Archaeal large subunit ribosomal RNA", at positions 1784 to 2143 of the family's 2987-position model. The record is from RNAcentral. Lineage: Eukaryota; Metazoa; Mollusca; Gastropoda; Stylommatophora; Clausiliidae.
UUAAAUAAAAAGAUAAUAUAGUUUUAUUUUCCCGAAAUAGGGAGAGCUAAAUAGUUUUUGAUUUUAGUUGGUAGAACUUUUAGAAUAGUGUUGCAUAACUAUUAAGAAAAAAUUAUUUAGGGGUGAAAGGCCUAUCAAUCCCUAUAGAUAUCUGGAUUAGCUUAAAAUAUAUUUAGUAUAAAAGACAAAUAUGAAACUUUGAGGUUUCAUAUUAAUAAAAUAAAGUAUCUUAUUAAAAUAAUUCUUGAAUUAAUCUUUAAGAUAGUACCCAAAACCAAUAUAAAAUUACUAAAAAGAUUUAUUAUACAAAAGCUAUAAGGUUUAUAUAAUUAUUUUAUGACUUAAUUUCUGUUUAAAUGAGUAUUUCUAAAAAAAUUUUAGAAGGAACUCGGCAAAACUUAUUAAUCUCAACUGUUUAUCAAAAACAUAGCUAGAUGUAGUUAAUAUAUUUAGUUUUUUCUGCCCAGUGAAUCUAUUUUAACGGCCGCAGUACACUGACUGUGCAAAGGUAGCAUAAUAAAUUGACUUUUAAUUGAAGUCGGGUAUGAAUGGGAAAAUGGGAUUAAGCUGUCUCUUUAAAUUUAGAUAUAAAUUACUUUAGAAAGUGCAAAGACUUUCAACUAUUUUAAUAGACGAGAAGACCCUAUGAAUUUUUAUAAAAAGGAUAAGAUAAACAACCUUUUAUUUUUGUUGGGGCAACAAGUUGACAUAUAUUAUAAACUAAUAAAUUCAAUUAGAAGAAGGAUUAACUUUAAGAGUAUUAUAACCCGAAUUUUAUUAUUUACAAUUAAAUUACUAUAGGGAUAACAGCAUAAUUUUAUUUAUAAGUUUGUGACCUCGAUGUUGGACUAGGGUAUAGUUAGAAUAGCAUUUUAACUAAAAAGUUCUGUUCGAACUUUAUUUCCU